Molecule: ribosomal RNA, 478 nt
Filed under: uncultured Planctomycetales bacterium
Lineage: Bacteria; Pseudomonadati; Planctomycetota; Planctomycetia; Planctomycetales
Description: bacterial SSU rRNA
Rfam family: Bacterial small subunit ribosomal RNA
Source: RNAcentral
UUUCGCAAUGCCCGAAAGGGUGACGAAGCGACGCCGCGUGUGGGAAGAAGGCCUUCGGGUUGUAAACCACUGUCGGGAGUUAAGAAAUGCAAGAAUGUUAAUAGCGUUUUUGCUUGACUAAGGCUCCGGAGGAAGCCACGGCUAACUCUGUGCCAGCAGCCGCGGUAAUACAGAGGCGGCAAGCGUUGUUCGGAAUUAUUGGGCGUAAAGAGCACGUAGGCGGCUAUAUAAGUCGGUUGUGAAAGCCUUCCGCUCAACGGGAGAACAGCAUCCGAUACUGUGUGGCUUGAGUGUGGGAGGGGAGAGCGGAACUUCUGGUGGAGCGGUGAAAUGCGUAGAUAUCAGAAGGAACGCCGGCGGCGAAAGCGGCUCUCUGGCCCAUAACUGACGUUGAGUGUGCGAAAGCUAGGGGAGCAAACGGGAUUAGAUACCCCGGUAGUCCUAGCCGUAAACGAUGGGCACUAAGUAGAGGGGUUUU